GAUGAACGCUGGCGGCGUGCCUAAUACAUGCAAGUCGAGCGAACGGACGAGAAGCUUGCUUCUCUGAUGUUAGCGGCGGACGGGUGAGUAACACGUGGAUAACCUACCUAUAAGACUGGGAUAACUUCGGGAAACCGGAGCUAAUACCGGAUGAUAUUUUGAACCGCAUGGUUCAAAAGUGAAAGACGGUCUUGCUGUCACUUAUAGAUGGAUCCGCGCUACAUUAGCUAGUUGGUAAGGUAACGGCUUACCAAGGCAACGAUGCAUAGCCGACCUGAGAGGGGGGUCGGCGACACUGGAGGUGAGACGCGGUCCAGACGCCUACGGGAGGCAGCAGUAGGGAAUAUUACGCAAUGGGCGAAAGCAUGACGGAGCAGCGCCGCGUGAGUGAUGAUGGUGUUCGGAGCGUAAAGAUCUGUUAUUGGUGAAGAACAUAUGUGUAAGUAACUGUGGACAUCUUGACGGUACCUGAUCAAGAAGCCACGGCUAACUACGUG
This 497-nucleotide ribosomal RNA is filed under the name uncultured bacterium. RNAcentral's name for it is "partial 16S ribosomal RNA". It matches the Rfam family "Bacterial small subunit ribosomal RNA", at positions 28 to 507 of the family's 1533-position model. The record is from RNAcentral.